RNAcentral lists this ribosomal RNA (425 nucleotides) under bacterium. Its description in RNAcentral is "bacterial SSU rRNA". It matches the Rfam family "Bacterial small subunit ribosomal RNA", at positions 354 to 776 of the family's 1533-position model. The record is from RNAcentral. RNAcentral also lists the same sequence under 1 other name.
GUGAGGAAUAUUGGUCAAUGGCCGGAAGGCUGAACCAGCCAUGCCGCGUGAAGGUCAGUGCCCUAUGGGCGUUAAACUUCUUUUGUGCGGGAGCAAUAAGGUCCACGUGUGGGCCGACGAGAGUACCGUACGAAUAAGCAUCGGCUAACUCCGUGCCAGCAGCCGCGGUAAUACGGGGGAUGCAAGCGUUAUCCGGAUUUAUUGGGUUUAAAGGGUGCGUAGGCUGUGAGGUAAGUCAGCGGUGAAAUGCCCCCGCUCAACGGGGUGAAGUGCCAUUGAUACUGCCUUGCUGGAAUGCGGAUGCCGUGGGAGGAAUGUGUGGUGUAGCGGUGAAAUGCAUAGAUAUCACACAGAACACCGAUUGCGAAGGCAUCUCACGAAUCCGCGAUUGACGCUGAUGCACGAAAGCGUGGGUAUCAAACAGG